UGGCGGACGGGUGAGUAAUGUCUGGGAAACUGCCUGAUGGAGGGGGAUAACUACUGGAAACGGUAGCUAAUACCGCAUAACGUCGCAAGACCAAAGAGGGGACCUUCGGGCCUCUUGCCAUCGGAUGUGCCCAGAUGGGAUUAGCUAGUAGGUGGGGUAACGGCUCACCUAGGCGACGAUCCCUAGCUGGUCUGAGAGGAUGACCAGCCACACUGGAACUGAGACACGGUCCAGACUCCUACGGGAGGCAGCAUG
Molecule: ribosomal RNA, 255 nt
Filed under: uncultured bacterium
Lineage: Bacteria
Description: partial 16S ribosomal RNA
Rfam family: Bacterial small subunit ribosomal RNA
Source: RNAcentral